UCGCCUCUACGAAAAGAAGGGAACUAAACAGGAACAAAAGAGAUCCUUUGAAGAAAAUACUUCUCCUUUCUUUUUUUGGAAGAACGUAUAUUUUCUGUACUAAUAGCCAAUGGCCCAAUAAAGGGAUAGAUUAUAUCGACGAUGCGACUGUAAAAUAAUAGCGUGUAUACCGGAAAAACACGGUUUAGACUGUAAAUUGCAUAAACAAUAGGAUAAUAAGAUAUCUUACAUAAUUAAGCAUUACACUAAUUCACAUAUGUUGUUCUACAAAGGGAAAAGCCUACACAGAUAAUAGAAUAUAAACUAAUCAGGUUGAAUCUGCCGAAGAAAAUCAUCUCAAAGUUGCAUGGAUUGACGCUGUUUCAUGAUCUGCCGGCUGCCCAAGUUUUCCCAUAUCCGCACUCGAUAAAAGUAGCAUAUAAGAGGACAUCGUUAGUUUCAAAAACCGGUAAGGAUAAAUUAUAAACGCGAGAGCUGUGAGUUUAUUGGGAAGUGAGGAACUAGGAUCGGAGCGCUUUUUGACUUAGUUUUGGUCAUUGUUUUUUCUAAAGAAGGCACUUUCUGAUGCUGGAUAAUAGCAUCAGAUAUUCGAGAAGAAGAUGUAUUACUGAUGCAGCGAAAAACCCCUAAAACCAAACCCAUUUUUGAUCUGCUCUUGGAUAAAAAAUCUAUGAAUCUGUAGGGCUAUUUUAUAUUUUUGAGUUGUGAUUUAAUCGAAUUAAUUAGUUAAUGGAUACUUAUAGUGAAAAUAUCAAGAAAUGGUCAAGAAAUGUUGUGGAAAUUUCUCUCUUGUUUUGUCUUAUACGUGAGGAAAAGGUGGGUGCUUUGAGUGCUUGCUGGGCAAG
Molecule: long non-coding RNA, 845 nt
Filed under: Olea europaea subsp. europaea
Lineage: Eukaryota; Viridiplantae; Streptophyta; Magnoliopsida; Lamiales; Oleaceae
Source: RNAcentral